Prunus persica (peach) is the source of this 1807-nucleotide long non-coding RNA. RefSeq lists it as uncharacterized. The record is from RefSeq and is a predicted model, not a curated record. NCBI's taxonomy places the organism in Eukaryota, Viridiplantae, Streptophyta, Magnoliopsida, Rosales, Rosaceae. The transcript has 3 exons.
UAGGGUCUAUGAGAACGGGACUCUAAUCUAAUAUUUAUAUGUUCACCAAAAAUCAGUUAUUGUUGUAAAUAAUUAGUUGUGGAGCCCACAUGUUCCCUAGGCUUUGCCGAUAAAAGGGUUCAUCCCUUCAUUGUUCAAUACACAUAGAAAUGAGAAUAAGAAACUCAGUUUCUCUACUUUCUCUCUCUCUCUCUCAAUUUCCUCUCCAAAUUCUCCAGUUUUAUAACACGUUAUCAGCACGAUUUCGUUCAAACAAUACCAGCUGAGUUUUAUGAUGAAACCCAGUCAGAAAAACGCUUUGUUGUAAGCCUUCCAAUUCCAAAGAAAGAAACAGUGAAAAACAGAGAGAGAUGCGAAGCUAUGGAUUAGCAAUCUCAGGAAGCGAUUCCUGCUUCUACAUCUCCACAACCCACAAACCAAUUUCAUUUUCAAUAUUAAGAUUAUUGGCAUGCUUCCACGAGUUCUCCCUCGACCUGUCCAUCUUGCUGCAGCAGAUCCACGGGAGCAAGAUGUGGCGACGUAGAGGAGGUCGUUCCUCUGCUCCAAAACCAGUGCUCGCGGAGCACAACGAAAUCGUUCAUGGAUCCCCUAGACGACGAUCUCAGGCGCGAGGUCCGCUCAGCCGCAGGUCAGCCGCGGGUCCACCAUCCUCGCCGCCUCAGCUCCAUGGCGACGGGGAAACCCCAUGUACUUAGCAGGCUUCCAUGCCCGUCACAAGCUCCUGAACUUGCUGCAAAAGCCGAGGGUUUUUCAGUGCCAAACCCUCGUCCACAACUCCACCAUGCACCUCGCUCUCAACCCACUGCGCUGGCGGCCUAGUUGCAGCACUUGAGCCCUGGCGAGAAGGCCACAAAGUCGUGGUCUCUGAGCAUGGAGACCAAGUGGGAAGCACAUGGGUCUCCACUCCGAAGGUAGAAUCCGACCCACUUGGACUGCUCCUGGAUCGGACCACGGUCCAUUCGAGCAUGCACCAGUCAAUCCGGAUGAACCUCCCGAGAGAGUCCAUGGGUUUCAAGGACUACCCAUUUGUGGCCAAAGAAGAAGACGAAAAAAAAAGGUGGGAAAGCAAAUUUAACUGGCAGAGAAAGAGAAGAAUAAUGGAGGUGCGUAUUUUGGGAGAAUAGUAAGGCACAGAGUGGAGGUGCCAGAGCAGCAGCGUAACUCAUUGUUCGGGCGACAGCUUCCCACCCAGCGCACUUGCUUAAAGAAAAAGUUUUAAGUGCGCAUGCGUGAACCACUAAAUUAUGAUAAUUAUUAAUAUUAUUACUAUUGCUUGCAAUCUCACAUGGAGGCCACGCCAAAAGACCAAGCAAAAUAAAAGGCAGAGGGGAAUGUGUCGCUUUGCUUGGGCUUUGAUUGCAAAAUUGGUCAGAAGAGAACAGACAGAAAGGAUAAGCUUCCUUUCAUCUUUUCAAUUAUUUCAUUAUUAUUCUUAAAAGCCAAUAAUGGAGGUGGGAGGUGGAGCCAAUGAGCUCAGUCAAGCAAACCCACCGAAAGGAUAAGCUUCCUCUCAUCUUUUCAAUUAUUUCAUUAUUAUUCUUUAUUAUUUAAAUUGAAUAUUAAGAUGCAGGUCUAUAGUGCAGGUACAUAAUUAUAUUAUUUUAAUAUUAUAUCAUUAUUAAAGGUGUGCAGGGAUACAGCAAAGCCGAUCGGCCAAUAUCAUAGCGUUAUCCCCACUACUGUGAUAUCAUGUCAUUGUCGAAAGACAAUCACUCGUCUCUGCUUUUUACGUCAUGGAUGGGCAUGUGGAUUAUGGAUGUAUAUCAAUUCUUGAUGCUUAUACAGAUCAGAACAAGAAGUUCCUUGA